ACGAGGUGAUAUCAGUCAUAGAGAACAACGAGGUGAUAUCAGUCAUAGAGAACAACGGGGUGAUAUCAGUCAUAGAGAACAACGGGGUGAUAUCAGUCAUGGAGAACAACGGGGUGAUAUCAGUCAUAGAGAACAACGGGGUGAUAUCAGU
Molecule: long non-coding RNA, 151 nt
Organism: Oncorhynchus keta (chum salmon)
Lineage: Eukaryota; Metazoa; Chordata; Actinopteri; Salmoniformes; Salmonidae
Exons: 3
Source: RefSeq, a predicted model, not a curated record